This 234-nucleotide ribosomal RNA is filed under the name uncultured Glomeraceae. RNAcentral describes it as "partial 18S ribosomal RNA". It matches the Rfam family "Eukaryotic small subunit ribosomal RNA", at positions 548 to 784 of the family's 1831-position model. Lineage: Eukaryota; Fungi; Glomeromycota; Glomeromycetes; Glomerales; Glomeraceae. The record is from RNAcentral.
UUGGAGGGCAAGUCUGGUGCCAGCAGCCGCGGUAAUUCCAGCUCCAAUAGCGUAUAUUAAAGUUGUUGCAGUUAAAAAGCUCGUAGUUGAAUUUCGGGAUCAAUACGUCGGUCGUGCCUUCGGUACGUACUGGUCUUGCUGAUUCCUCCCUCUUGACGAACCGUAAUGCCAUUAAUUUGGUGUUGCGGGGAAUCAGGACUGUUACUUUGAAAAAAUUAAAGUGUUUAAAGCAGG